CAAAACGUAAACAUAAACGGAGAGGCGUCACAUGCUACUUUGCGGGAACCUAGAGUGAUUUCCUUGAAUUUAUAAGAGGAUAAAGCUGAAUGAUGUUACAAUAAACAUUCCAGAGGGAGUCACCCACCCGGUGCAUAAUUAGAGACCCAGGAGGCUGAGUAAGAUAGAUGACUGCAGUGUGUGUCAGUGGAGUUGGAGGGGGUCGUGCCAUUCCAGCGGCUGCUGGUUAAAUGCAGGUGGCUGGGUGUGCUCGUCAGCUUUUAUCUUGGCUUUGAACACAGGUUUUUUGCUGAAGUAGAUGAAAACGGUUCCAAGUACAACAUGUUUGAACCGUUAGAAGCAGAAGAUAAAGAGGGAUUUUAACUUUCAAAUCCUUAUGGAGUCCAAAUCAAUAAAAGAAUGGCUUUCACUGAAAUAAAUUAAAAGUUUUGGAAUGGCCUAUCCAAAGUAGAAACCUAAAUCCAAUGUGCAAGGAGGACUAUUGACAAGAAACAUGUUCAUGGUCUGAUCGACUUAAAAAAUUUUGGAACGGCAAAGUAGCUAAAUAUUUCCAAGUCAAGAUGUCGGAUGCUGAUAGACAAAUCCAGAAAUUUAAUUUAAAGCUGGUUUAACAAAGUUAUCAGUUUAACUUUGUGCAUAUCUAUAUCAUCGGACUGGUUUUGAUUUUUUAAAUUUGCCUUCAUGAUAAUCUUUUUGAUUUUCUCCAUAAAAAUGUUAUACUUAACAGAGGUUUGUAAACUUUGUCCAUCCAUUGUCAUCUGAAAUGGAUGGACAAACCUCAAGUAUGUUUAAGUUCUGGUCCAAAUGUGUCAUAAACCACGCCCCCUUUUUAUCCUCAUUGAUUGGUUAGUCUGUGUUUGAUUGCAAACUGUUUGAAAAAUGAUUCAUAAUGAAGUCUAACCACCACAUGCUCUUUGCUUUCCAUCUUAAUAUAUGUACUUUUUUAAGUUUGCCAAUGAAUUGUUAGUUUUUUGUGCUCUAUAAUGCUGAAAACAUAACUGGAAGGAGACAAUAA
Long non-coding RNA from Poeciliopsis prolifica (blackstripe livebearer), 1015 nucleotides. RefSeq lists it as uncharacterized. Lineage: Eukaryota; Metazoa; Chordata; Actinopteri; Cyprinodontiformes; Poeciliidae. The record is from RefSeq and is a predicted model, not a curated record. The transcript has 3 exons.